AAAAUAUCUUGCCUAUUUUUAGUCAGUUAUAUAUAUCCCUAAUACCUGCUGAUAAUAUAACUCAGCAAGUGUUUGUGGAAUAGAUAAAUGAAUAAAAGAAUCUAUUUCAUGAACAACACAUGCAAUGCCUUUGCUAGUAUCAAUAUAUAUUGUAGAUGAAAUGUAUUUUUACAUUCCUAAGGCAAUAUCUCUUAUGCAAUGUUUAAAAGUUAUAUUUGUGUACCAGGAAAAUGUUUACCUCAGGUGUAGUUGAUUGGAGGAGGAAUCAUCAUCAGCUUGAGAGUCACCAAUAAAUAGAUCACUCAGAAUUCUAUGACCAUGGUCUGAAGAUGAACUGGAUCACUGAAUCAACUGGAUUUUUUUCUCAAGAAUUUGAAAUUGGGAAUGUGGCUUAGGAGUUGGGUUUGUCUCUGUUCAGACAUACCUGAAUAAGACUGAAGUUCUUUGUUUUCAUUCAUUCUUGCAUUAAGUCCACUUUUUACUUGAGCUGGUUUGAGUAUAUAUCUGUUAGAUGCCUUCAGAGCAACAAAUUACAACAUCUAAAAUUAGCAUUAAGUAAAAUACACAAAAAUAAUCAAACAUAGGAUAACCAAUUGCAGUCUCACAGAAGAACAGACUAAGAACUUUAAGAAGUAACAGAACUAUAGUUUGAAGAUAAAGUCUCUGAGUGUGAGAAACUUGAACAAUAAAAAAAUCACUACCUAGUAUGCCAUGCUUUUAUGAAAAGUAGAUUGUCUUUUUGAAGCAGUUGGGUGGGACUGACCAAUUGCUUAAAGGUACAAUACCAUGCCUCUGAAAGUACUAAUGACAGGAAAAUCUUCUAAGUAUGUCUACA
Molecule: long non-coding RNA, 835 nt
Filed under: Marmota monax (woodchuck)
Lineage: Eukaryota; Metazoa; Chordata; Mammalia; Rodentia; Sciuridae
Source: RNAcentral